UUGGGUUUAUAUUUAAAUUUAUAAAAAUUGAAUUGCAAUCAAUAAUUGACCAAAAUCUUUACCCAAA
RNAcentral lists this transfer RNA (67 nucleotides) under Scolopocryptops sp. 1 YG-2013. Its description in RNAcentral is "tRNA-Ala". Lineage: Eukaryota; Metazoa; Arthropoda; Chilopoda; Scolopendromorpha; Cryptopidae. The record is from RNAcentral.